GGGCGUAACUUCUUCUUUGCGUAAAGGCGCACCCGGAGAGCACAGUGAGAUACCCGAAAGAUGGUGAACUAUGCCUGGCCAGGACGAAGCCAGGGGAAACCCUGGUGGAGGUCCGCAGCGAUUCUGACGUGCAAAUCGAUCGUCGGAGCUGGGUAUAGGGGCGAAAGACCAAUCGAACCAUCUAGUAGCUGGUUCCCUCCGAAGUUUCCCUCAGGAUAGCUUGCGCUCACGUGAACGAGUCUCAUCCGGUAGAGCGAAUGAUUAGAGGCCUUGGGGUCGAAACGACCUCAACCUAUUCUCAAACUCCAAAUAGAUGAGAACUCCGGCUUUCUUGAACUUUGUUUUUGAAGCCGGGGGCUUGGAUCAGAGUGCCAAGUGGGCCAAUUUU
Molecule: ribosomal RNA, 388 nt
Filed under: Europiella artemisiae
Lineage: Eukaryota; Metazoa; Arthropoda; Insecta; Hemiptera; Miridae
Description: eukaryotic LSU rRNA
Rfam family: Eukaryotic large subunit ribosomal RNA
Source: RNAcentral